This 292-nucleotide ribosomal RNA is filed under the name uncultured bacterium. RNAcentral describes it as "partial 16S ribosomal RNA". It matches the Rfam family "Bacterial small subunit ribosomal RNA", at positions 505 to 796 of the family's 1533-position model. The record is from RNAcentral.
GUGCCAGCCGCCGCGGUAAUACAGAGGUCCCGAGCGUUGUUCGGAUUCACUGGGCGUAAAGGGUGCGUAGGUGGCCGGGUAAGUCUGACGUGAAAUCUCCAAGCUCAACUUGGAAACUGCGUCGGAUACUAUCCGGCUCGAGGAUCGGAGGGGAGACUGGAAUACUUGGUGUAGCAGUGAAAUGCGUAGAUAUCAAGUGGAACACCAGUGGCGAAGGCGAGUCUCUGGACGAUUCCUGACACUGAGGCACGAAAGCCAGGGGAGCAAACGGGAUUAGAUACCCUUGUAGUCC